CGAGACCUCAGGUCAGGCGGGGCUACCCGCUGAAUUUAACCUAUCAAUAAGCGGAGGAAAAAGAACCUACCAAAGGAUUCCCUUUAAUUAAACGG
This 95-nucleotide ribosomal RNA is filed under the name Astragalus commixtus. Its description in RNAcentral is "partial 26S ribosomal RNA". The record is from RNAcentral. Lineage: Eukaryota; Viridiplantae; Streptophyta; Magnoliopsida; Fabales; Fabaceae.